RNAcentral lists this long non-coding RNA (278 nucleotides) under Elaeis guineensis (African oil palm). Its description in RNAcentral is "long non-coding RNA (EGUI_LNC006099)". The record is from RNAcentral. Lineage: Eukaryota; Viridiplantae; Streptophyta; Magnoliopsida; Arecales; Arecaceae.
UGUACUUCACAUUCGCAUAUAGUUAAUGCUCAUAUCGAAUAACCAUCAUCGAUUCAAAUAGUUGGUACAGAAUCGAGGAAGUAGUUGGUUAGAUGCCGAAUAUCCUUAGCUAGUUGUAGAUUGCAUGUCGAACCAAGUGGGUUAGAUGCCGACUUAAAUAGGUUCGUUGCCCUUAGUCCAAUGAACACCAAUUAGGUCCAGGCUCGUUGAUCCAAGUCAGAUUGAAUCAUAGCAACUUAGUCAGUGCAGAGAUGAGAAAGAAUCAAUAGUAGCGCACU